Molecule: ribosomal RNA, 468 nt
Filed under: uncultured bacterium
Lineage: Bacteria
Description: partial 16S ribosomal RNA
Rfam family: Bacterial small subunit ribosomal RNA
Source: RNAcentral
GACGAACGCUGGCGGCGUGCUUAACACAUGCAAGUCGAACGGAAAGGCCCUGCUUUUGUUGGGUGCUCGAGUGGCGAACGGGUGAGUAACACGUGAGUAACCUGCCCUUGACUUUGGGAUAACUUUAGGAAACUGGGGCUAUUACCGGAUAGGAGCUCCUGCUGCAUGGGGGGGGUUGGAAAGUUUCGGCGGUUGUGGAUGGACUCGCGGCUUAUCCGCUUGUUGGUGGGGUAGUGGCUUACCAAGGUUGUGACGGGUAGCCGGCCUGGGAGGGUGAACGGCGACAUUGGGACUGAGAUACGGCGCAGACGCCUACGGGAGGCAGCAGUGGGGAGUAUUGCACAAUGGGCGGAAGCCUGAGGCAGCAACGCCGCGUGCGGGAUGACGGCCUUCGGGGUGUAAACAGCUUUCGCCUGUGACGAAGCGUGAGUGACGGUAAUGGGUAAAGAAGCACCGGCUAACUACGUG